GGGAGGCUGAGACGGUGCGGCUGAGGGGGCCGCGGGGGGCACUGCGGUGCGAGGAGCCGCGCUCGUGAACUGCAAAAUGGAGCAGAGAAGGCACAACGACCCCAGAUUCAGAAGAUCUGCUGAAGCCCCGACCUACUGAAGCUUCCUACAGCUCCACUUCUCCUCCCCCAUCUUAAAAUGAGGGGAAUAACCAGCGCCUACCUUGCAGGUUGCUUUCUUCUGUCAGUGACACAACACUAUUUCCUUGAUUAGCGUUGUUCCAAACAGCCAGUAAAAUACCCUUCCCAGCACAGGCUUCCCCAAUACACUACGGUUCCAGAAUGAGUGACAGAGUUAAACAGCUUGCAGUCUAGAAAACCACUCAUGACAAGAGAUUCAGAAC
Long non-coding RNA from Gallus gallus (chicken), 382 nucleotides. The record is from Ensembl. NCBI's taxonomy places the organism in Eukaryota, Metazoa, Chordata, Aves, Galliformes, Phasianidae.